RNAcentral lists this ribosomal RNA (497 nucleotides) under uncultured bacterium. RNAcentral's name for it is "partial 16S ribosomal RNA". It matches the Rfam family "Bacterial small subunit ribosomal RNA", at positions 28 to 507 of the family's 1533-position model. The record is from RNAcentral.
GAUGAACGCUGGCGGCGUGCCUAAUACAUGCGAGUCGAGCGAACGGACGAGAAGCUUGCUUCUCUGAUGUUAGCGGCGGACGGGUGAGUAACGCGUGGAUAACCUACCUAUAAGACUGGGAUAACUUCGGGAAACCGUAGCUAAUACCGGAUAAUAUUUUGAACCGCAUGGUUCAAAAGUGAAAGACGGUCUUGCUGUCACUUAUAGAUGGAUCCGCGCUGCAUUAGCUAGUUGGUAAGGUAACGGCUUACCAAGGCAACGAUGCAUAGCCGACCUGAGAGGGUGAUCGGCCACACUGGAACUGAGACACGGUCCAGACUCCUACGGGAGGCAGCAGUAGGGAAUCUUCCGCAAUGGGCGAAAGCCUGACGGAGCAACGCCGCGUGAGUGAUGAAGGUCUUCGGAUCGUAAAACUCUGUUAUUAGGGAAGAACAUAUGUGUAAGUAACUGUGCACAUCUUGACGGUACCUAAUCAGAAAGCCACGGCUAACUACGUG